RNAcentral lists this ribosomal RNA (484 nucleotides) under uncultured bacterium. RNAcentral describes it as "partial 16S ribosomal RNA". It matches the Rfam family "Bacterial small subunit ribosomal RNA", at positions 30 to 507 of the family's 1533-position model. The record is from RNAcentral.
AUUGAACGCUGGCGGCAGGCCUAACACAUGCAAGUCGAGCGGAUGAAGGGUGCUUGCUCCUGGAUUCAGCGGCGGACGGGUGAGUAAUGCCUAGGAAUCUGCCUGGUAGCGGGGGAUAACGUCCGGAAACGGGCGCUAAUACCGCAUACGUCCUGAGGGAGCAAGUGGGGGAUCUUCGGACCUCACGCUAUCAGAUGAGUCUAGGUCGGAUUAGCUAGCUGGUGGGUUAAAGGCCUACCAAGGCGACGAUCCGUAACUGGUCUGAGAGGAUGAUCAGUCACACUGGAACUGAGACACGGUCCAGACUCCUACGGGAGGCAGCAGUGGGGAAUAUUGGACAAUGGGCGAAAGCCUGAUCCAGCCAUGCCGCGUGUGUUAAGAAGGUCUUCGGAUUGUAAAGCACUUUAAGUUGGGAGGAAGGGCAGUAAGUUAAUACCUUGCUGUUUUGACGUUACCAACAGAAUAAGCACCGGCUAACUUCGUG